AGGAGCCUAGAUCAAGGGGAACUCAUAGUGACAUGAUGAUUAUUGUAUCUUCAGGCAAGGCUUUUUCACUGGAGCUCCUUGUCUGCACCACGCUUGCAGAAAUUUGGUUCAAAUGCCUCCAAAUUGCAUACACUCUGACAACGGUGAAGGAAAAGGAAUUUCUUCUUCCCUGACUGCAGUAUUCCUCUAGACCCUCAUCUUCGGAAAUGAUAAAGUUGGGGUGCCUGGUGGCUCAAUUGGUUAAGCAUCUGAUUUCACCAUUCAUGAGUUCACCGUUCAUGAGUCUGAGGCCUGUGUAAGAGCUCUGUGCUGACAGUGCCUAGACCAGCUUCAGAUUCUGUGACUCCCUCUCUCUGCUCUACCCCACUUCUGUGCUGCUCUCUCCCAAAAAUAAAUAAAAACUUUAAACCAAAAAAAAUUUUUUUAAAUAAAAAAAUGGCAAGGUUAGGGGAAAUGGUUAAGAGCACAUUUUAUUUAUCUAGACCUACGCCCCUUACAUAGCAAUUGCAUCUUUCUUUUAUUUCACUUGGUGGGGAAACUCAAAGAAUGCAGUGUUUCACAAUUCAAAUUAAAGCUAAAAACACACCAGGCUGAUUUUCUGGGAGUGAGCAGUAGGGGAGGAAAUUUAUGAUGGCAUAACUGCAUGAAGACUUUUUAGCACCAGAAAGAUGUUUUACAGCAUGAAAGAAAAAUAUGUAUGUUGAGAAAGAACAUGAAUGCUAGAAACACAUCGUUACUAUAAAUUUUGAAUCUGAGACACAAUUCACAAUGCUGCUUUACUAAUAGUGCAGCUUUAAACCUAUUUAAGCUGGGAAAUUUGUUAUCAGGUGACUCAUACAUGUGGGGAAAUCCAGUUCAUGUGUGCCAAAGAUGAAAGAAAGCGAUUAGGUGUUUAAAUGUUAAGAUUCCAUUCAGUCUUGUGAAUGAACUGCAGUAAUCUUGAUGAGAAAAAAAGCAAAGGGCAGUUACUCAUCAAGUUAAAAAAUGCUGAAGGACUCUCUGGAUUUAAAUAAUAAAACCUUAUAUUUAUGACACAUU
RNAcentral lists this long non-coding RNA (1038 nucleotides) under Suricata suricatta (meerkat). RNAcentral's name for it is "lncRNA (ENSSSUG00005008961.1)". Lineage: Eukaryota; Metazoa; Chordata; Mammalia; Carnivora; Herpestidae. The record is from RNAcentral.